Molecule: ribosomal RNA, 658 nt
Filed under: uncultured bacterium
Lineage: Bacteria
Description: bacterial SSU rRNA
Rfam family: Bacterial small subunit ribosomal RNA
Source: RNAcentral
UUAGAGUUUGAUCCUGGCUCAGAACGAACGCUGGCGGCGUGCUUAAUACAUGCAAGUCGAACGAGAAAGCCCGACUUCGGUUGGGCAAGUAAAGUGGCGAACGGGUGAGUAACACGUGGAUAAUCUGCCCUUGAGUCUGGGAUAAUCCUCCGAAAGGAGGUCUAAUACCGGAUAAGACCACGGGAUGGCAUCUUCCUGAGGUCAAAGGUGGGGUAACCUACCGCUUGAGGAUGAAUCCGCGCUCCAUUAGCUUGUUGGUGAGGUAACGGCCCACCAAGGCUACGAUGGAUAGCCGGCCUGAGAGGGUGAUCGGCCACACUGGGACUGAGAUACGGCCCAGACUCCUACGGGAGGCAGCAGUAGGGAAUAUUGCGCAAUGGACGAAAGUCUGACGCAGCAACGCCGCGUGGGUGAUGAAGCUUUUUGGAGUGUAAAACCCUGUCAGUGGGGAAGAAACGUAUAGGGAGUAACUGCCCUGUACCUGACGGUACCCGCAGAGGAAGUCCCGGCUAACUCCGUGCCAGCAGCCGCGGUAACACGGGGGGGACAAGCGUUGUUCGGAUUCACUGGGCGUAAAGGGCGCGUAGGCGGAUCUUCAAGUCGGGUGUGAAAACUGGCGGCUUAACUGCCAGCCUGCAUUCGAUACUGUAGAUCUUGA